GUCUGGGUGUAGUAUAGUGAUUUGAGUGUUGGACUAUGACUCUGAAGACCAGGGUUCAAAUCCUGGCUCAGCCA
RNAcentral lists this transfer RNA (74 nucleotides) under Phrynosoma platyrhinos (Desert horned lizard). RNAcentral's name for it is "tRNA-OTHER". The record is from RNAcentral. Lineage: Eukaryota; Metazoa; Chordata; Lepidosauria; Squamata; Phrynosomatidae.